Molecule: ribosomal RNA, 223 nt
Filed under: uncultured bacterium
Lineage: Bacteria
Description: partial 16S ribosomal RNA
Rfam family: Bacterial small subunit ribosomal RNA
Source: RNAcentral
GCCGUUCUCAGUUCGGAUCGGAGUCUGCAACCCGACUCCGUGAAGCUGGAUUCGCUAGUAAUCGCGCAUCAGCCAUGGCGCGGUGAAUACGUUCCCGGGUCUUGUACACACCGCCCGUCACACCAUGGGAGUCGGAAAUGCCCGAAGCCGGUGACCCAACCCGAAAGGGAGGGAGCCGUCGAAGGCAGGUCGGAUGACUGGGGUGAAGUCGUAACAAGGUAGC